UUGGUUUCUUGGUUGCAGCGCGGGGAACGGAACCCAGAACCUGGUACAGGCUAAACAAGCCAUCUGCCACGGAGCCACAUCCCCGGCCCCAUGAUCUGUUUUCAACAAAGUCUCCGGGUGACACUGUGUCUGCCAAAGUUUGAAAAGCCACCGCUGUAGCCUAAGGCCAUGUGUCUCAGACCUGCUACUGGAAUCUCCCUGGAAGCUUUGUAGGAUCCUAAAGGUCAGGCUUCAUCCAAGUCGGGAUCUGAUGAUAAGACCCAGGUAUCAGGAGUUCUUGGAGGUCGCCCUGGGGGGCUCAGAUGGGCAGGCAAGUUUGGGAACCAGGGGAUCUCCCUUAGACUCUCCACACUGCCUGUGGCCUCUAGAUCUGCAGCCUGGGGAUCACCUGGGUGCUUGGAAGAAAUGCAGAACCCCAGGCCCCGCCCCAGACCUGCCAGUGUGGACUCUGCCCUUUAACAAGAUCUCCCCCCACCCUACCCCCAGCCCCUACUGAGCCCCUACUGACUCGACUGAGCCGCAGUGAAACGUGAGAAGCCCUGGCCCGGGCUGCAAAACAGUCCUGUCCAAGUCGUACAUCUGGAACUUUCUGACGUGCAGAUCGAUGACUAGCUGAACCCAGUCCAGAGGUGGUGGUGGUUUUUCUGAUUCUCUGGGGACACGGACGGCCUUCCUGCCCCUCAUCAGUGAAGAUCUGGCUGCGGGAGGGGAGGCAGGCCUCCUCUGGGAGAGUAAUUAAAUUCAGUGAGCACCUCCAGGGGGCCCCAGAGAGAAGUCGGCCCGGAGGAGAGGCUGUAAUUAACAUUUGGAGCUGCCCUGCCGCCAUGUUAUUCAUUACAGCCUCACCUGGGAGUGACCUCCUGCUAGUGCCUACCCCUCCACCCCACUCUUUAAAAAAAUUUUUUUUCCCUUUUUUACUCAUUUCUUAACAUCUUACCAGAUCACUACUGAGUGAUUUAGAAAGUGAAACCAAGGCUGACUCAGAAUUGGAAUAUUCAUCUUGAUUUCGUAUUUCCUUAAAGAAGCAGAAAGAACCCCAGAAUGGAACAGGCUGCUCUUGUGACCGCAGCAAUAGAAACCUCAUUGCUCUGAAGAUUUUUUAACUGACAAAGAUCUUUUGUGAUACUCCAAUCCAGAUAUUUCAUCUUAGUUCUUUUUCUUUAGUUUAAAAGUGAUAUUGUGGCUCAUACACUGUUGUGGAGUCUUUAAGCCCACAAUCAUUUUACGUGUGUGUGUGUGUGUGUGUCUCGUCGUAACAAAUGGGAUUUUUAGGAUUGACUUUGUGUCCCGGGCAGUGGUGUGUAGGAAGAGUGCAGGGGCAGGAGGUGAAGACACCUUGAUUCGCUCAGAACAAGUCCCUUUGCUAUGCUGGGUCUCCGUUUUCUCACUUCUAAAAUAAGCCAGCUACCAUGGUACAUGUCUAUAAUCCCAGCAGCUUGGGAGGCUGAGACAGGAGGAUUGCAAGUUUGAGGCCAGCCUCGGCAAUUUAGUGAGGCCCUAAGCAAUUGAAAGUGAGGUUCUGUCUCAAAAUGAAAAAUAAGAAGGUCUGGGGAUAUGGCUCAGUGGUAAGGAGCCUCUGGGUUCAAUCUCCAGUUCCAAAAAAAAGAGGGAGUUUGACAGCUGGAAGGUACAAAUUCAAAUGCCAAUAGGUACCAGGUGGAAAACCUGUAGUAGGGGGAAGGGUGGCUCAUGCUUGGCACUUCUCCCCUCCCUCACCUGUGGGGAUGUGGGUCCCGUGUUGUCGGAUUUCAAGGACAACAAAAAAAUAAUAAUUAAAAAAUCUUGGGGCUGGGGUUGUGGCUCAGAGGAAGAGCCCUUGUCUCAAAAUCGUGCGGCCCCGGUUCGAUCCUCAGCACCACAUACAAACAAAGAUGCUGUGUCCACCGAAAACUAAAAAAUAAAUAUUAAAAUUCUCUCUCUUCCUGUUUUAAAGAAUAAAUAAAUAAAUAAAUAAAUAAAUAAAAUAGAGAUAUUGUGUCC
Molecule: long non-coding RNA, 1980 nt
Filed under: Marmota monax (woodchuck)
Lineage: Eukaryota; Metazoa; Chordata; Mammalia; Rodentia; Sciuridae
Source: RNAcentral